GUAAUGUCUGGGAAACUGCCUGAUGGAGGGGGAUAACUACUGGAAACGGUGGCUAAUACCGCAUAACGUCGCAAGACCAAAGAGGGGGACCUUCGGGCCUCUUGCCAUCAGAUGUGCCCAGAUGGGAUUAGCUUGUUGGUGAGGUAACGGCUCACCAAGGCGACGAUCCCUAGCUGGUCUGAGAGGAUGACCAGCCACACUGGAACUGAGACACGGUCCAGACUCCUACGGGAGGCAGCAGUGGGGAAUAUUGCACAAUGGGCGCAAGCCUGAUGCAGCCAUGCCGCGUGUAUGAAGAAGGCCUUCGGGUUGUAAAGUACUUUCAGCGGGGAGGAAGGUGUUGUGGUUAAUAACCGCAGCAAUUGACGUUACCCGCAGAAGAAGCACCGGCUAACUCCGUGCCAGCAGCCGCGGUAAUACGGAGGGUGCAAGCGUUAAUCGGAAUUACUGGGCGUAAAGCGCACGCAGGCGGUCUGUCAAGUCGGAUGUGAAAUCCCCGGGCUCAACCUGGGAACUGCAUUCGAAACUGGCAGGCUUGAGUCUUGUAGAGGGGGGUAGAAUUCCAGGUGUAGCGGUGAAAUGCGUAGAGAUCUGGAGGAAUACCGGUGGCGAAGGCGGCCCCCUGGACAAAGACUGACGCUCAGGUGCGAAAGCGUGGGGAGCAAACAGGAUUAGAUACCCUGGUAGUCCACGCCGUAAACGAUGUCUACUUGGAGGUUGUGCCCUUGAGGCGUGGCUUCCGGAGCUAACGCGUUAAGUAGACCGCCUGGGGAGUACGGCCGCAAGGUUAAAACUCAAAUGAAUUGACGGGGGCCCGCACAAGCGGUGGAGCAUGUGGUUUAAUUCGAUGCAACGCGAAGAACCUUACCUGGUCUUGACAUCCACAGAAGAAUCCAGAGAUGGAUUUGUGCCUUCGGGAACUGUGAGACAGGUGCUGCAUGGCUGUCGUCAGCUCGUGUUGUGAAAUGUUGGGUUAAGUCCCGCAACGAGCGCAACCCUUAUCCUUUGUUGCCAGCGGUUAGGCCGGGAACUCAAAGGAGACUGCCAGUGAUAAACUGGAGGAAGGUGGGGAUAACGUCAAGUCAUCAUGGCCCUUACGACCAGGGCUACACACGUGCUACAAUGGCGCAUACAAAGAGAAGCGACCUCGCGAGAGCAAGCGGACCUCAUAAAGUGCGUCGUAGUCCGGAUUGGAGUCUGCAACUCGACUCCAUGAAGUCGGAAUCGCUAGUAAUCGUGGAUCAGAAUGCCACGGUGAAUACGUUCCCGGGCCUUGUACACACCGCCCGUCACACCAUGGGAGUGGGUUGCAAAAGAAGUAGGUAGCUUAACCUUCGGGAGGGCGCUUACCACUUUGUGAUUCAUGACUGGGGUGAAGUCGUAACAAGGUAACCGUAGGGGAACCUGCGGUUGGAUCACCUCCUUACCUGAAAGAAGC
RNAcentral lists this ribosomal RNA (1438 nucleotides) under Salmonella enterica subsp. enterica serovar Enteritidis. RNAcentral's name for it is "bacterial SSU rRNA". It matches the Rfam family "Bacterial small subunit ribosomal RNA". The record is from RNAcentral. Lineage: Bacteria; Pseudomonadati; Pseudomonadota; Gammaproteobacteria; Enterobacterales; Enterobacteriaceae.